Molecule: ribosomal RNA, 955 nt
Filed under: Nothophytophthora caduca
Lineage: Eukaryota; Oomycota; Peronosporomycetes; Peronosporales; Peronosporaceae
Description: eukaryotic LSU rRNA
Rfam family: Eukaryotic large subunit ribosomal RNA
Source: RNAcentral
AGUGAAGCGGGAUGAGCUCAAGCUUAAAAUCUCCGUGCACGUUGUGCAUGGCGAAUUGUAGUCUAUAGAUGCGUGAUCAGUGCGACCGCUCGGGGUAAGUUCCUUGGAAGAGGACAGCAUCGAGGGUGAUACUCCCGUUUGUACCUGAGUGUGUUGUGCGUACGAUCCGUAUUCUUUGAGUCGCGUUGUUUGGGAAUGCAGCGCAAAGUAGGUGGUAAAUUCCAUCUAAAGCUAAAUAUUGGUGCGAGACCGAUAGCGAACAAGUACCGUGAGGGAAAGAUGAAAAGAACUUUGAAAAGAGAGUUAAAGAGUACCUGAAACUGCUGAAAGGGAACCGAAUCGUCUCCAGUGUUCUAUAAUCUGCGGCAUAUUUCAUUGGCGAGCGUGUGUGUGCGGCGCUUUUUGGCAGCGGCUUAAUUGCUGCGCCUGGUGUUGCUUGUGCGUGUGCUUGCUGGUGCCCUGUGCUGCGGUGGGACGUCAAGGUCAGUUCGUAUGCUGCGGGAAAUGACUGCCGAGGAGGUAGGGCUUACACUCUGUGUUUGUCUGUUAUAUCUUGGCGGACGUAGUAGUCGCGGUUGGGACUGAGGUGUUCUACAACGUGCUUUUUGAGUGUGCGGGUGUCUCGGUGUGCGUGCUGUGCGUAUAGCUUGCUAUGUGCGCGGUUUUUUAGCGUGUCGAUUGAUGCCUGCGGUAACUUGUCGCCGUUCGGGACUUUGACGAAAUGGAGCGAUCCGACCCGUCUUGAAACACGGACCAAGGAGUCUAACAUGUGUGCAAGUGUUAGGGUGUGGAAACCCCAGCGCGCAAUGAAAGUAAAGGACAGCGUAAGUUGUCUGAGGUAGGAAACUCUGGGCUCUCGGGCUCCGGGGUGGCACUAUCGACCGAUCAUGACCCCUCGUGGCGAAAGAUUUGAGUUUGAGCACAUAUGUUGGUACCCGAAAGAUGGUGAACUAUG